RNAcentral lists this ribosomal RNA (253 nucleotides) under uncultured bacterium. RNAcentral's name for it is "partial 16S ribosomal RNA". It matches the Rfam family "Bacterial small subunit ribosomal RNA", at positions 524 to 776 of the family's 1533-position model. The record is from RNAcentral.
UACAGAGGUCCCAAGCGUUGUUCGGAUUCAUUGGGCGUAAAGGGUGCGUAGGUGGCGUCGUAAGUCAGGUGUGAAAUCUCGGAGCUUAACUCCGAGACUGCAUUUGAUACUGCGGUGCUUGAGGACUGGAGAGGAGACUGGAAUUUACGGUGUAGAGGUGAAAUGCGUAGAGAUCGGAAGGAAGACCAGUGGCGAAGGCGGGUCUCUGGACAGUUCCUGACGCUGAGGCGCGAAGGCCAGGGGAGCAAACGGG